RNAcentral lists this ribosomal RNA (254 nucleotides) under uncultured bacterium. Its description in RNAcentral is "partial 16S ribosomal RNA". It matches the Rfam family "Bacterial small subunit ribosomal RNA", at positions 524 to 776 of the family's 1533-position model. The record is from RNAcentral.
UACGGGGGGAGCAAGCGUUGUUCGGAUUUACUGGGCGUAAAGGGCGCGUAGGCGGCCACUGCAAGUCAGUUGUGAAAUCUCCGGGCUUAACCCGGAAAGGUCAACUGAUACUGCAGGGCUAGAGUGCAGAAGGGGCAACUGGAAUUCUCGGUGUAGCGGUGAAAUGCGCAGAUAUCAGGAGGAACACCGGUGGCGAAGGCGGGUCUCUGGACAUUUCCUGACGCUGAGGCACGAAAGCGUGGGGAGCAAACAGG